GGGCCUGUAGUUUAAUUGGUAAAACAUCAAACUCAUAAUUUGACAGAUCUCGGUUCGAGUCACGGGUGGGCCCACCA
Molecule: transfer RNA, 77 nt
Filed under: Acinetobacter phage Melin
Lineage: Duplodnaviria; Heunggongvirae; Uroviricota; Caudoviricetes; Pantevenvirales; Straboviridae
Also listed under: 3 other names
Description: tRNA-Met
Rfam family: tRNA
About the family: Transfer RNA (tRNA) molecules are approximately 80 nucleotides in length. Their secondary structure includes four short double-helical elements and three loops (D, anti-codon, and T loops). Further hydrogen bonds mediate the characteristic L-shaped molecular structure. tRNAs have two regions of fundamental functional importance: the anti-codon, which is responsible for specific mRNA codon recognition, and the 3' end, to which the tRNAs corresponding amino acid is attached (by aminoacyl-tRNA synthetases). tRNAs cope with the degeneracy of the genetic code in two manners: having more than one tRNA (with a specific anti-codon) for a particular amino acid; and 'wobble' base-pairing, i.e. permitting non-standard base-pairing at the 3rd anti-codon position.
Source: RNAcentral